This 62-nucleotide transfer RNA is filed under the name Oasisia alvinae. RNAcentral describes it as "tRNA-His". Lineage: Eukaryota; Metazoa; Annelida; Polychaeta; Sabellida; Siboglinidae. The record is from RNAcentral.
GUUACUGUAGUUUAAAUAAAACAUUGAAUUGUGGUUUCAAAAAUGCUUUACAGCCAGUAACC